RNAcentral lists this ribosomal RNA (253 nucleotides) under uncultured bacterium. RNAcentral describes it as "partial 16S ribosomal RNA". It matches the Rfam family "Bacterial small subunit ribosomal RNA", at positions 524 to 776 of the family's 1533-position model. The record is from RNAcentral.
UACGGAGGAUGCAAGCGUUAUCCGGAAUGAUUGGGCGUAAAGCGUCCGCAGGUGGCGAUGUAAGUCUGCUGUUAAAGAGUCUAGCUCAACUAGAUAAGAGCAGUGGAAACUACAUAGCUAGAGUACGUUCGGGGCAGAGGGAAUUCCAGGUGUAGCGGUGAAAUGCGUAGAUAUCUGGAGGAACACCGGUGGCGAAGGCGGCGUCCUGGACCAACACUGACACUGAGGAGCGAAAGCCAGGGGAGCAAACGGG